AUUGAACGCUGGCGGCAGGCCUAACACAUGCAAGUCGAACGCGUGGCGGAAGGGUGAGUAAUGUCUGGGAAAGUGCCUGAUGGAGGGGGAUAACUACUGGACACGGUAGCUAAUACCGCAUACCAUCAGAUGUGCCCAGAUGGGAAUAGCUUGUUGGGGGGGUAAAGGCUCCCCAAGGCGACGAUCUCUAUCUGGUCUGAGAGGAUGACCAGCCAGACUGGAACUGAGAAACGGUCCAGACUCCUACGGGAGGCAGCAGUGGGGAAUAGUGGACAAUGGGAGAAAGCCUGAUGCAGCCAUGCCGCGUGUAUGAAGAAGGCCUGCGGGUUGUAAAGUACUUUAAGCGGGGAGGCGUUACCCGCAGAAGAAGCACCGGCUAACUCCGUGCCAGCAGCCGCGGUAAUAC
RNAcentral lists this ribosomal RNA (406 nucleotides) under uncultured bacterium. Its description in RNAcentral is "partial 16S ribosomal RNA". It matches the Rfam family "Bacterial small subunit ribosomal RNA", at positions 30 to 526 of the family's 1533-position model. The record is from RNAcentral.